RNAcentral lists this transfer RNA (76 nucleotides) under Aeromonas salmonicida. Its description in RNAcentral is "tRNA-Ile". It matches the Rfam family "tRNA". Rfam says of the family: Transfer RNA (tRNA) molecules are approximately 80 nucleotides in length. Their secondary structure includes four short double-helical elements and three loops (D, anti-codon, and T loops). Lineage: Bacteria; Pseudomonadati; Pseudomonadota; Gammaproteobacteria; Aeromonadales; Aeromonadaceae. The record is from RNAcentral.
GGGUCUGUAGCUCAGGUGGUUAGAGCGCACCCCUGAUAAGGGUGAGGUCGGUGUUCGAGUCCACUCAGACCCACCA